Molecule: ribosomal RNA, 492 nt
Filed under: uncultured bacterium
Lineage: Bacteria
Description: partial 16S ribosomal RNA
Rfam family: Bacterial small subunit ribosomal RNA
Source: RNAcentral
AGUGAACGCUGGCGGUAGGCCUAACACAUGCAAGUCGAACGGCAGCACAGUAAGAGCUUGCUCUUACGGGUGGCGAGUGGCGGACGGGUGAGGAAUACAUCGGAAUCUACUUUUUCGUGGGGGAUAACGUAGGGAAACUUACGCUAAUACCGCAUACGACCUACGGGUGAAAGCAGGGGAUCUUCGGACCUUGCGCGAUUGAAUGAGCCGAUGUCGGAUUAGCUAGUUGGCUGGGUAAAGGCCCACCAAGGCGACGAUCCGUAGCUGGUCUGAGAGGAUGAUCAGCCACACUGGAACUGAGACACGGUCCAGACUCCUACGGGAGGCAGCAGUGGGGAAUAUUGGACAAUGGGCGCAAGCCUGAUCCAGCCAUACCGCGUGGGUGAAGAAGGCCUUCGGGUUGUAAAGCCCUUUUGUUGGGAAAGAAAAGCAGCAGGUUAAUACCCCGCUGUUCUGACGGUACCCAAAGAAUAAGCACCGGCUGACUUCGUG